This 322-nucleotide ribosomal RNA is filed under the name Cercozoa sp. RNAcentral describes it as "SSU rRNA". The stretch from base 114 to 322 matches the Rfam family "Eukaryotic small subunit ribosomal RNA", at positions 746 to 955 of the family's 1831-position model. The record is from RNAcentral. Lineage: Eukaryota; Cercozoa.
GAUUUCUGGGUUCCCGCUUUUGGCCGGCCACGGUUUCGUGUGUUAGUGCUUGGAGCGGCGCCCAUCCUUCGCAUCGCUCGGGUCUGCUCUUCAUUGAACGGGCACGGGUAUGCGAUCGUUUACUUUGAAAAAAUUAGAGUGUUUCAAGCAGGCUUUAUGCUAUGAAUACAUUAGCAUGGAAUAAUAAUUUAGGACUUCGGUUCUAUUUUGUUGGUUUCUAGGACUGAAGUAAUGAUUGAUAGGGAUAGUUGGGGGUGCUAGUAUUCAGCGGCCAGAGGUGAAAUUCUCGGAUUCGCUGAAGACUAACUUAUGCGAAAGCAUU